AGCCCCACCUUCUUUUAUGAAGAUGCCUCGAUAAGGCAAGUAUGCCAACUCCGUGGGGAUU
Molecule: transfer RNA, 61 nt
Filed under: Boodlea composita
Lineage: Eukaryota; Viridiplantae; Chlorophyta; Ulvophyceae; Cladophorales; Boodleaceae
Description: tRNA-Ile
Source: RNAcentral